Molecule: long non-coding RNA, 1161 nt
Filed under: Cottoperca gobio
Lineage: Eukaryota; Metazoa; Chordata; Actinopteri; Perciformes; Bovichtidae
Description: lncRNA (ENSCGOG00000007589.1)
Source: RNAcentral
AGAACAUCCGUUAAUAAUUUAUUGAUUAUAGGUUGGCGUCCGGACUCGGAACGCGGUCCGCCUGUUAGUGACCUAUGCAGCACAGUGUCACAACACAUUGUUACAGCGCAGUGUCACAACACAUUGUUACAGUACAGCGUUAGAGCAGUGUUACAGCACAUUGUUACAGUACAGUGUUACAACACAGUAUUAGAGCAGUGUUACAGCACAUUGUUACAGCACAUUGUUACAACACACAGUGUUACAACACACAGUGUUACAACACACAGUGUUACAGCACAGUGUUACAACACAGUGUUACAACACAGUGUUACAGCACAGUGUUACAGCAGUUACAGCACAGUGUUACAGCACAGUGUUACAGUACAGUGUUACAACACAGUGUUACAACAUAUUGUUAGAGUACAGUGUUACAACACAGUGUUACAGCACAGUGUUACAGUACAGUUUUACAGUACAGUGUUACAGCACAUUGUUAGAGUACAGUGUUACAACACAGUGUUACAACACAGUGUUACAGCAGUGUUACAACACAUUGUUAGAGUACAGUGUUACAACACAGUGUUACAGUACAGUGUUACAACACAGUGUUACAACAUAUUGUUAGAGUACAGUGUUACAGUACAGUGUUACAGUACAGUGUUACAACACAGUGUUACAACACAGUGUUACAGCAGUGUUACAGUACAGUGUCACAGCACAUUGUUAGAGUACAGUGUUACAGCACAGUGUUACAGCAGUGUUACAGUACAGUGUUACAGCAGUGUUACAGUACAGUGUUACAACACAGUGUUACAACACAGUGUUACAGCACAGUGUUACAGCAGUGUUACAGUACAGUGUCACAGCACAUUGUUAGAGUACAGUGUUACAACACAGUGUUACAGUACAGUGUUACAACACAUUGUUAGAGUACAGUGUUACAACACAGUGUUACAGCAGUGUUACAGUACAGUGUCACAGCACAUUGUUAGAGUACAGUGUUACAACACAGUGUUACAGCACAGUGUUACAGCAGUGUUAGAGUACAGUGUUACAGCAGUGUUACAGUACAGUGUUAGAGUACAGUGUUACAGCACAGUGUUAGAGCACAGUGUUACAACAGUGUUACAGGGCUGUCAAGCGAUUAAAAAAAUGAGUCUAAUUUAUUACAAGCUUUAG